CUCUAUGGCCAUGCCACCCUGAACAUGCCCAAUCUCAUCUGAUCUCAGAAGCUAAGCAGGGUCAGGCCCGGUUAGUGGGAGAUCACCUGGGAAGACCAGGUGCUGUAAACA
This 111-nucleotide ribosomal RNA is filed under the name Pteropus alecto (black flying fox). The record is from RNAcentral. Lineage: Eukaryota; Metazoa; Chordata; Mammalia; Chiroptera; Pteropodidae.